CACUGCGCUUGCUAAUAGCGUGAUUGGUACGAUGCGGCCGCUAUAUCGACUAUCAGAGCGCAAUAGCGGGCCUUUCUGUAGCGUAGGCUGCGGUCAUAGCAGACAACUGAAGAAAUUAUCCUACAUAUAAAUUCGGGACGCACAUCCCACCGAUCAACCCUAGUUUGACCCACUCCUCUUAUCCUGGCGGCGGGCGGCAGGCGGCUGACACUUCCCUAGCGGCGGUGCGGCUAACGGCGGAGGCCGGACAAAGAGGCGAAGCCAGGCUCCUGGCUCCUGUUGGACGCCCUUCCCUGGCCGCCGACGGGCCGGUGCGGGCCGACACGGCGAGUCGGCGCCUCGGCGGGCAGUACCUCACUAGGACGUUGGUGCUCAAGCUCAACGCCCUCAUCUCCUCCCUGGUCGCUGCUCAAUGCCCCCAUCGUCCCAUCCCCUACUGGCCCACGUCCCAAUCAGUCGCUCCACUCCCUAGCUCGCAAUCUUCAGUCUGGCAGCUCAUCACCUCAAGUAGUAGUCUACUAGCACAAUGUCUUCAGCAGGAUCAGGGGCUUCUUCUACAACCACAGCCGGAAGAACAAGAAAAUAUCCUGCCUAGUGAUGUUGAAGAAGAGGAGGAAGAGGUGGAGAAUCAAGAAGUUAAGGAAGAUAUUGAUUAAGAAGACCAGGAAGUUGAGGAUGAUAUUGAUUACGAAGACCAAGAAGUGGACAUGGAUUUGACAGGACAAGUCUAUGUGUUGUGUCCUACCAAUAGUUUUUGUUUGCAUGGUUACAUGGGUGAAUACUGUCCAGAUGGAUAGUUAUAGUCUAUAUGCUUAUAUAAAUGAUGAUUGUUCAAUUCAAGUGUCAGAUUGUUGUCAACGUCCUUAGAAAUGUACAUAAUAAUCUCAAAUUUGCAAGUGCUUUUACAAAUCCGUUAUGUGGACACAACGUCCGCAAUAUUGAAGGAAAUAUGCCCUAGAGGCAAUAAUAAAGUUGUUAUUUAUAUUUCCUUA
Long non-coding RNA from Triticum aestivum (bread wheat), 992 nucleotides. RefSeq lists it as uncharacterized. The record is from RefSeq and is a predicted model, not a curated record. Lineage: Eukaryota; Viridiplantae; Streptophyta; Magnoliopsida; Poales; Poaceae. The transcript is spliced from 2 exons.